ACGGAGGGUGCAAGCGUUAAUCGGAAUUACUGGGCGUAAAGCGCACGCAGGCGGUUGGAUAAGUUAGAUGUGAAAGCCCCGGGCUCAGCCUGGGAAUUGCAUUUAAAACUGUCCGGCUAGAGUCUUGUAGAGGGGGGUAGAAUUCCAGGUGUAGCGGUGAAAUGUGUAGAGAUCGGGAGGAACACCGGUGGCGAAGGCGGGUCUCUGGGCAUUUCCUGACGCUGAGGCGCGAAAGCGUGGGGAGCAAACAGGA
Molecule: ribosomal RNA, 253 nt
Filed under: uncultured prokaryote
Description: partial 16S ribosomal RNA
Rfam family: Bacterial small subunit ribosomal RNA
Source: RNAcentral